UUUUUUUUUUUUUUUUGGGGUGUCUAAAUAGUGCUCCAGGUUCUAGCCAUAUGUUUCCAGCCCAGUCCUCGCCUGCAAGCAAAUUCAACUCUGGCCUAGUCAGGUUGGUGCGCGCGACAGAGGAGGAUGACAAGAUUCGUAAUAGGGAUGCGUUCAACUCAUAAAUCCCUCGAAAGAAAAACAAACGCAUGAGAAACGAGGCAAUGGAAUUUUUGGUUCUUGACAUUUAGCAGACGCAGAAUUGUUAUUUUCACAAAAGUUACAUUUCAUUUUGAAUCAGACACUAUUGGCAGAGAGUCGGUCGUACUUGUACCAAUUUGUAUUAAAAAUAAAUGAUGUCCUACAGCUUAUCUUCAGAAUAAUCACUUCUUGGUAUAAGUGACGGAAAAUCCCCUUCGGCGGGCGGUUAUAUAUAUACUAUGUAGACCUAGUUAAGUUUAAUAGUAUACCGUCAGAGUUGUCGAGGAGUGAGCCACAAUGUCCGAACUCCCAGCCAUUGCUAGUUCUUGUCCCUGCAAGUUUGAAAGUAUAUACAUUACCAGAUCACUUAGAUUUCAGGGAAUUCUACCAUUGUCUUCUUCUCAGACGAUCAUUCCUCAUCUAGCACUGCAUGCUUCCUGCACAAACUGCUCAGGCUGCCAUAUGUUUUAACGACUACUUGAUUUGAUCCUAUUGCAGCUUUGCAGAUGUCUGUAGCGCAGAUAUCCGAAGCUCCAGGUUCAUGUUCCUGCCCAAUCAUUUCCUUCCUUCUUUCUGGGGUCAAAAAUGUCGCUCGCAUCCUUCAGCUAAUUAAUCAAGAGGAAUGUCGUCUCAAACCACAAAAAAUCUCAGCAUCCAAGACCUCUAAGAAUGCCACUGAGUUUAUAAAUUACCCCUGGAGGAUCUGCAUAUGACUCAUCCAGAUAAAUAGCAUGGUACUCCAAUCCUUUCCACUUGGCAAUUAGGGCAAAAUGGGGGCGCCUGUAUUCACUACUGACAAUCUCAAACACUACUGUCCUUGGCGUAGCAGAAACUAUGUGAGUUAGACCUGCCCCAUGAGCACCGGCUAUGACUGAAGCAUCUUGAAUGGCCCGAACUUGCUCUUUCAUGGACAUGUGAGCAAAUAGACCGUUUAUUAUAUUCAAUUUGCAAGCUGAAUGAUUUGAUGCCCAGCCCUCUAUAGAAUUAAAAACUUGUUCUUCAUUACUAAGCCUUGAUUGUACCUUACCACCAUGACGUGGAUGGGCUAAAUAAUCCUCACGUCUAACAAAGAGGACAUUAAGACCCGAAACAGGCCUUGAGUUAUGAUGUCUAUCAACUGGAAAACCAAAUGCUGCUCUUAUCAUCUCCCCGAACUCAGACAGACGAGCAGUCUUUUUAUCAUCUGGGUGUUGCCAUAGUUCACGUGCAGAAGCACCGUUGCAAUCUAUGUCUUCAGAGAGUCCCUUGAACCAUGCAGUUUCAUAUCCCAAAGGUGCAAGUAUCGCAUGGCGGAAACAGACAGGACCACGAAAGCUUUUGGCAUAUCUAAUGCUAGAAAACAAUGCAUUCCAGGUUUCUUCCAACUGUGCCUGAAAAGUUUUGUGAAAGGAAUUAUCUUAAAUGGAAAACUUUCAGUGAAUUAAUAGACCACUACAGUAACACUGGCAGAGGCAAUCAUAGCAACCUUGGCAUGCCAGUAUCUGGUCAUUACGUCCUCAAAUUGGUUUUAAACUUUUAACAUGUUUCAUCUUCUAUUGUUGGUGGCAUAAACUAACUUCUAGAGAUGUUUAUUUAUUUAGAGCAUUAUUGAAGCAUGUUCUCCUGCAUCUAUACAUGUCAAAAACAUCCACAAUGCCAAUAAAAUUGAACGCCCAAGCACAAAAAGAGAGAAAUGGAUGUAAUCAGUAUUAAUGCAGUGUAAUAUUGAAAUUAAGAACGUCUUCCGCAGGCAACAGCAAGAACAGCAGUUAUUGAGGGAACAAGAAGAAAGCAGAGGAACGCCAGCUUCUGGAAUGAAGAAAUUGGUCAAUUUUAGUAAUAAGAUUCUGCACAAGACUUUCCAAAAAAGAAUAAAAAUGGUAAUAUGGAACAAACAACAGAUAACAAGCAGCAAUAUAUUUGCAUGAAUAUUGGCUCAACAUGUCCAAAUGCAUUUCGGUGGAGUUCAUCUCCAAGAAAUGGCAGACACAUAUGAUCAAGUCCAGGCUAACUGCCAGAAAAAGAUAAAAAAAAGUCCAGGCUAACCAUUUAUUCAACUACUGAACUGCUAUGAAGAAGCACCAUAAUUUUAACACAUCCAGAAAUUUGAAAGCAGCAUGCUGAAAACUAAGUCUUUUCCACUACAACUCUUCAAGCCAGUUAUUCUAAGAGUCUGAUUUUGAAUAUGCUUGAUGUCAAGAAAUCUAUAGUUUAAAACUCCUGCAAUAAGUUCAAUGACUCCCCUGUACAUCUCAAGUGAUCCAAAAUUCACCUUCCCUGGCUCAUUUCAUGUUUAUCAAAUACUUAGUAGAGGACAAAAUUCUUGCAAUAACAAAUGCUACAAUGUCAUUUUUGCUAGAACUAUGUUAGCCUGAAUAUUCAUACCUUGCAAUGGCCAUCCACGAAAACUAUAUGAGGUCGAUUGGGCAAUCCAGUAACUCUAGAAGCCACAUAUGCACUGUACCAAUCUGUGAAGGUGUGAAAAACAUUUGCAUACUCGAAACGUGUAACCAAAACCGUAGGCUCCUCAACCCACUGAAAGAAAACGUAACAAAAUGGCUAAGAUUAAGAAAAAUGUGAUGGAUCGAUUGCAAAAGGCAAAAAAUGCAGAAAGCUCCAGCAAAAAUAAAACUCAUGCAGAUUUGAACAAUCUUACUUGCAAGCAUAUGAGUAUAGCAUUGAAACUUAAAUCAAGUAUCAAAGAGGAGAAAACGAUAUUGCCAGCAUUAUUCACAAGUUUGAUACUAUAACUGCUCGCUGCAAAUCUCAUUUAUCAUUUACAUCUCCGUCAUACAGCACCUCCCACAAACAUUCAUUGCAAGACUCAUUCUGAAAGUUCAAGAGGACUUCAAGCAUCUGCAAGAUGCUUCAUUUUUUGGUCCUGCCCCAGAUUAGAUCUCAUGUUAUCACAAAAAGACCCAGAUCUCAAUCCAGGUACACCGUGUUCCCAGAAUCAACUGAUGGAACUGACAGAUCAAUUGUUUAUUACACCACAUUAGACUCUGCAAGAAAAUUUGAUAAGGCAUCCAAAAAUGGGAGAAAUUUAUUCAUAUUGAUUGGAUUAGCUAGUUAUGAGUUCAUUUAUUAAAUCAGGGAUAUCGAUUCAUUAAUUAUGCAGAAUCUUUUUUGCAAAUUUGGUAAAAAAUCAUCUGUUCUUUCCUUUUUUAACAAAGAUCAAAACUUUAAUAGAUCAAACUGAGAACCCAAAUUAAAAAAAAAAAAAAAAUCUGAAGGCUAACCUCGGAACAAUUUAACUCAUUAGGCCCAACUAACUCAAUCGAAUCGACCAACUGACGCAUAGUAUGCCUAUGAAUGGCACCAUUUGGUAAGUAAUUAUUCAAAAAGUCUACAUUCACAAGUUUCUUCCCUAUUUUAGACCUUUCGAGCACUUCAAUCUGGAAAGCACCGGGUUUAAAUAACGGCAAUUCUUCCUCUUCCCCUCUUCCAAGCACCAUCUCCAACUCUUCCCCUCCUUUAGACAUUACAAUUUUUUCUCCAAUCAUCCGAAUUUGUCCUCCCUCGCAUAUAGAGCUAAGCAGCGUUUGACUAUAGUGACACCUAAACCAUCCGCCCCCGGCAGAGUUAUCAGAGACGGAUUUCCGGUGAGACUCCGGCGAGAGUUUGAGGGCAUCGACAAGCAGAGUGAAGCCAUUCCCGAAAUAACCCUCGCAAGAUCGGACCGGCACCUCACGAUUAUGGGACCAGGGGAGGUAGGAGGGGAGACUUGGCCAGGGUUUCGCAGUAGCAGUGAUGGACACAUGGGAGUUUGUAUGAUUCCGGGUAAAGUGAGGGUUGCUUCUGUUGGGGAAAUAGUCGGGGUGGGAGGAGAAGUAAAAGUAGAAGUAGAGAGUGACGGAGUUGAGGGCGAAGAGGAAAAGAACUAUUUUUACUCUUUUGGCCUUCAUUAUCAUCAUUGGACGACGGGAUUUUAGGCUUUGGAAUUUGUUUUUCAGCUGUUGCCGCCGUGGGGGUUCACCUGAGGAUUAAGUGACGAACCCCAUUGGCGAUUGUGCCGUGGCAGUUGGGACCCUGCUUGCUCUCUUUCCAACUCGGCAGUUCUUGCUCGCUUGCGUGUUUGGGAUUGGGAGGGGACUUAUUAUACCACCUAUUAGUCCUAGGAGCCACUUCCAGCCCUCGACCAGGCAUGGUAAGUUGGAAAAGCUCCAGCUUGUUCAUGCUUUUACUGGUUUAACUUUUGAGUAUUUGGAGAGCUACUAUUUGGUUAAAAAUUAUUUACUUACAUUAUAAAUAAUUUUUAAUACAUCUAUUUAUCUUUCCGAUCACCUUCUUAUUUCAUAUAUACAACAUUAUUAUAAAAAGUGCUUCAAUAUUUAUUUUAAAUAAUCUCCGAUCCAAACACUUGGAAUCUUUUUACUCUUAAUGGAUCAAGUAUUGGCAGAAUAAGGGUGGAAGAUAAUCAAAUUACUCAACAGUCGAGUCUAAGUUGAGCUUAGUAAAAAUUCGUUUGAAUUUGAUUCGUCAAUUAGUUAAAUUAAACUUGAAUAACACCUCAUGUUUCGUAACUUUGAAAAAAAAAAAUAAAAAAGUUCGAACUUGAUUCAACAAAUAAAUCAGUCAAACUUGAAUAAAAUUUCAAGUUCUUUAAAAUAAAUCAAAUAAACACGAAAGUUUAUAUUUGAGAAGCAUAAAUUCAUUACCACUCUUAAGAUUCCAUUAAUCUUCGAACUGAAGUUCGGUAAGCGUUGUGCCAAUACAGGGAUUUAGUGGAUUGUGAUUAGUACAACUAGGCAAAAUGCGGAAACUCAGGGUCCUAAAUACUCGAAACAAAAGUGAAGCAUUUAAGCAUUGUGCAAGCUUGGAACUUUUUCUUAUUUAUAUUUUUUGGAGAAAAAUAUAAAUGCGAAUACUGUGGAAGACGAGGCACUAUUCACCUAUGCCAUGGAAGAAUUGGUUGCCUCUAAUCAGAGGACAAGAAGAGGAUGGUAGGGUACAGCGUACCACCAGAUUAUAGAGCGGUUUUGUUGACCAAAUUUUGAUUCCUGGCGUCUGGAUUUCUUUAAGCCAGAUCACAGGGUCAAAAUCACGCAUACAAUACAACUACGUACACAAGUGGGAUCCAGACGUUCUGCCGGAAACUGUACAGCAUUUAACUUGAAUAUCUGCUCGAAAGGGCAUAUGGACUCUAUGGACAGCAUUAAUCAAACUAGAAAGUAAGUAGUACUCAGGAUACCUUUUACUUUUCUGCUAGGUAUUAGGCCACGAAUUUUUGUCAGGAAUUUCUGCCUCGCAGCCUAGUGACAGCUGCUCUAUUUAUUUUGCUAGGCAAGAACGAGUGCAUUAGCAGCGCACGGCCAUGCAUAUGGCAAUAUGGCAUUGGUUUGUUUGUUAAAAUCCCGCAUCCCAUUCUUUGAAAAAAAAAAGAAGAAGAAGAAUCAUUGAACCCACAAAAAGGGACUGUAAAGGUGUAAAAAUAUUUGCUAUCAUUUGCUUUGACAGAAUAUAGUGGAAGCAUGGUACAUUGCCAUUAGUAUAAAUGACAUCCAUCAUCUACAAAAAGUGUUGCAGCGGAUAAUAAUGAUACGCGUGGCAGUAGUGUGUUUAUGUUUCCUGACUUCCUCUCCUUCUGGCUUCAAAAACAAAAGAAUGCAGAAUGAAUAUGCAGUAAUUCAUCAAUAAUCCAGACCACGGAUUGAUGCAGAUCUCCAAUGCCUAGCACUCUCAAAACCAUUCGUACAAUUUUCAAAAUCUUCAAUGGUUUGAUCAAUCUCUUCUUGAGUGUUCAUUACAAAAGGCCCAAAUUGGACUACUGGUUCACCUAAUGGCUCGCCCCCAACUAAAACGAAUCUCAGGGGCUUUGAGGACUUGUUCCAUGCCUCAAGGCCAUCGCCAGAGCCUAGAAGAAGAAGAUUAUGAGCUGUUACUGGAGAAGACCUCGAGUGGCUGAAGGUGCCUUCCCCUUCCAGGACGUAUACAAAUGCAUUCCAGGACGCAGGCACUGGUUGCUGAAGAUGAGCUCCUGGCUUAAGGGUGAAGUCCAAGAACAUGGUUGGGGUCCUUGUGUAGACAGGAGAUGUAAUUCCCAUGGCCUCUCCUGCUAUAACUCUGACUUUGACCCCAUCUUUUGCUGCCUCUGCAAUGUCCUUGCUCAUCAUUUCUUGAUAUCUUGGCUCAACCCUUUUGGCAUGAGAAGAGAUAAUUAAUAUUUGAUGCAUUUUAAGUUCUUAAAGUCCAAUGUCAAAAAGUACGAAGAUUAUAGAUUACUUUCUAUAUAAGUGCAGCAGAAUCACUAGCUUUUACCAUAUCAGUGAUCUUCAUGUUUUAAUAUAAAGCACAUAAAUCACAUGGCAAUAACAUUAAUUAUAGGCGCACACACAUUGCUGAACAAUUAUGGCAAUGAAUCAUCAUGUUUGUGGGCAAUGAAUCAUCAUGUUUGUGAGCAAUGAAAGCGUUUACAUUCACAUUAUUCAUGAAGUUUCAUUAUAAUUCACUCAAAAACUUCUUCUUUACCCAGCAAAACUCAAAAACCUUCUUUCUGUUAAGGUUUAAAAGAUAUUUUUGUGCAUCUACAACUUCGCUGACCCUUUUUAAAAGCAAUAAAACUUACAUUUUAUUUCUAGAGCAGAGAUUAAUCCAUAAUUGUAAACCUCGUUGAGUUCCCUGAGCUGCUGGCAUCUCUGAAUGAACUAUUCCUCUUCCAGCAGUCAUCCACUGUAAAUCACCUUCUUUGAUGGUACCUUUAUGUCCUUUAAAAUCUUCAUGCGUCACAGCUCCCUGGUGUCAAAAUGCAAGAACUUUUUCAAUAUCGCGAACACCACCUAUUUUGAACAUACAUAACGGUUUGUUUUGCUUACUAAUGGGUAAAAAUGAGCACUGUAGGUGAGCAACAUACGUGCAUCAUGACUUAACCGGAAAAAAAAAAGUGUAUCAUGAAACAAAUAUAUUUCUGGCAGGCCGAAAGUUAGCUAGUUUGCCCGCAAAUUAGUGGUUGAAGAAACUGAAAGUCUUCAGUAUUUAGUAGUAAAAUUGUGAUUUUUGGUCUCAGUUACUGACAACAAGACUUGAAAUUCUAUUUGUCUUAGCCAGGCAGGCGGCAGGCCGCAGGUGCUUGAUGACAUAUUUGACAGUAGUAUUGCCUUGAUGAUCACCUUGUUUGCAACUUGACAUGGAAAGCCGGGUCCUAUCCAGCUAGCUUAAGAAAAGGGUUACCUAUUGCUUUCAUUCAAGUGACGCAAUGGCUACCAAUUCAUUAAUUUACUUACAAUUGCGGCAAUUAGAAAUUCACUGCUUUCUUUGAUCUUAAGGAUCAAACAGUGGUCACAAUAUUCUUCUUGGCAGUGAAGGAGAAAAAAGUGCUUUAGUGCAUCCGUUGCACCUUAUUUUGUUUUUCCUAUUGACGACAGAGUAAUAGGCAAGAUAGCCAAAACUAUUUGGUAAUAUAUCAAAAUGGAACUAGCAGGAAAUGAUACAAGUGAUGAAGCUCUACCUGCAACAUGUAGGUGACUGUUUCAAACCCUGAGAAAACAGAAGUGAUAAGAUCAGAAUUCAGAACUAAAAUCCAGUGGCAGACUUUGAAUUUGCAGUCAGAUAUUUCAAGAGUCUGAUGAAAUGCUUUCAAGUGUCUAAAUGCAGACCUCUAUGCGGAUGAUCAGGAAAUCCACCUGGAGCAGAGACUGCAAUGCGACGAAGAGAAGAAAAAUAGGAACAAAAACUUGAGUAAUAUGAUAAAGGGACUAAUGGAUUAGCGUUAAAAAACCAAUCUUGCACAAAAAUGAUCUAACUGAGAAAAAAAAAAUCCACCUGAGAAUUCGUCCAAAGCAAGGAAAGGAUCAAAAUACUUCAACUCAAACCUGACCAAAAAAAAAAAAAAAAAUCUUUACAAGCCAGACAGCACAAAUGAUGACAAUUAACAUGCAGUAUGGUUCUUUUACAUGCAUAAAACGAGACCAUCGAAGGAAUACCUUCCAAUGCUUCUUCUGACAAUAGCGCCAAGGCCCUCAGGCUGAGGCCUUGCAAGAAAUUUUCUGACAACAGGGCGAGCUUCUUGAACAGCACUGUUGUAGGACAUUGUUCUUUUUGCUUUUUUAACUCCUUUCUUUUGCCUGUUGAGUUAGCAAGUUUUUUCGAGAGAUGGAACGGAAGAAUUCGAAAAUGGAAUGGAAGAAAAAUCGGAGGUUUGUGAAGGGUAUAAAUAGGGAGGGAACAGAGACAGAAAAGAGGGGGGGAAGUUCGUUAGUCCGACUGUAUUUGGAGGGUCAAAGGGGGCAAAGGUGGCGGCCCACAUAUGAACUUGCUUGAGAUCCAGGGACUCUUUUUUUUUUUUUCUUUCUUUUCAUUUUUGUCCAUGUGAUGUCAGCAUAGCGUUAUGAUUAUGUGGUAAUGGAUCUUGUGAACUACGGUGGUUGCCUCUGGCCCUGGUUUCCGCUUGAUGGAUGGAUAAAUGGAGAUGGACCAUGUGGCUGGCCAGGGCCCAAGGCGGCAUUUUCUUCCCACCUUAUGUAAUUUCCUUUUAAUUUUAUGACGUAAUUUUUACAAAUUUUAUUAUUGUCUCUCAUUCUACUUCUAUAUUUUUUCUUUUGUGAACACAAUACAAAGCAAUUUGUUUUUAGAUGUGUGUUAAUAAGGGCUUGUCGUGCUAAUUAACACUAGUACUACAGGCACACCCAUGCGCGUGCAAUUUAAAAAUAAAUUGGUUUUUAUGAAAUUUUCUUUAACGAAUUGAUAGUUAUCUUGGUAAUUAAGGGUUAAUGGAUAAAGUUAACAUCAAGUUAACUAAGGAUUAAUGGAUAAAAUUAACUCCAUAGAUGCUUUAUUAACGUAUACAUAUCAUCGGUCCGAAUUUUCAUCCGUCAUCUUUCUUCUGUAAAUGUUACCAGAAUCUAGGGCCAAAGUUUACCAUUUUCUGUAGAGAAAGGAAAGGAAAGGAAAGGAAAUUGUGAGAGAUCUUGUGACUUUAAGGUGUUGCCAAUGCUUGAUUAGGAACAAAAUUGUUUUCAUAUUGAUUUGACCCCUUAGCGGCCAUGCAUAUGAAUAGUAAAUGAAAAACAUUUGAUGAGGAACUGAAAAUGCUCUGAAGGAUUUGAUUUAUGGGCGAAAAAUCUCUUCUACAGUUCGUAGCGACGGGCUGAUGGAGUUGGAUGACAGGAGAAAGAAAUAGAGACAUGCAACCGUUGCUCGGUUCCUCUUGAAUUAGAAAAGGCAAUGAGCGAAUAGCGCAAGGGAAAACUUGUGGGGCCAAACCAACCAACGAUUUUUGCCCCUUUGCCUUGGUGUCCUUUUCUAGUUUUCUGUGGCCCCAUUUCAAAUCCCAGAUACUUUGCCACACUUCAUUGAAAGCGUUAGGACCAAAGAAAAAAAAAUUAAGCUGAAAGGAAAUCAAUGGUCUUAAUAGUGGACACACGCAUCCUUUUGCUUCCAUGAGGAAAAAUGUGACGUCUUGAAGGAAUAUAUAUAUUAUCGUUACUCAAUUUUUUUACUAUAAAAUUAUUUUAAUUAUUAUAAGUGAAAGAUUUUGAACCGAAACCGUUAUUUACAAACUCUUCCCUCCCCCGUCCUAUCCUGCUAAUAGCAACCCUCAGUCUAGAAUCCCCCGAUGUUUUAAACAAUAACGAAAAACAAAAAAAAAUUAAAAGAACAAAAGGUCAUUUCAUUUGCUACAGAUUAAUAAAAAAAUGAAUUUGUAUGGUGUUGGAACAGCUGUCUGAAUAAAUAACAACCGAAUCAAAGCCGUCCAAUGAAUACGUUGAGAUACCAAUAGCGGGUUUCGAGAAUCAAGAAGCGGGACCAAAUUGACCAGCUGCUAAAUUCUUUUUUUUUUUCUAGUUGCGGGGGCCGUCGAGAGGGUUCUCUAUCCGUCUAUCGUAUCGUAUUGUGGGGUGGGUCCGGCUGUGAAGCCACCAUGAUCACCUAGGAGUGGACCAUGCAACGCGAGAAAUGAUGUAGUGACAACGUAGGACUUAGGUUGAGCGGCUUGCGAAGAAUGACGUAGUUAGUACAAAAGCAUGACGAGUUCAAUGCAUUUACAUAGACGAACCAUAUUGACAUUUUUAAAAAAAAUUCCUUUUCUUUUCUAUAUUCUAAAUUUCUGUCCGCUUGGGGUGUGCGUUUCUCUUUAGUGCGUGUGAGCUCUGAGUGCUUAGGUUUGUCCCACAUCGAACUUGGGAGGGGGAUUUGGGUAGUUUAUUAGGCUCCUCAGGAACCACAAAAGUUGCCGGCUUUUGUGGUUUCCUGUGGAUUAAGUUUAGUAAAAUGCAAAAGUCAUUCUGCUGACUAGAAAAAAAAGACAAACUGUCCGCUUGGGGUGUGCGUUUCUCUUUAGUGCGUGUGAGCUCUGAGUGCUUAGGUUUGUCCCACAUCGAACUUGGGAGGGGGAUUUGGGUAGUUUAUUAGGCUCCUCAGGAACCACAAAAGUUGCCGGCUUUUGUGGUUUCCUGUGGAUUAAGUUUAGUAAAAUGCAAAAGUCAUUCUGCUGACUAGAAAAAAAAGACAAACUGUCCGCUUGGGGUGUGCGUUUCUCUUUAGUGCGUGUGAGCUCUGAGUGCUUAGGUUUGUCCCACAUCGAACUUGGGAGGGGGAUUUGGGUAGUUUAUUAGGCUCCUCAGGAACCACAAAAGUUGCCGGCUUUUGUGGUUUCCUGUGGAUUAAGUUUAGUAAAAUGCAAAAGUCAUUCUGCUGACUAGAAAAAAAAACUAGGUAGAAAUUGGAAUUUUCUUUGUUUCUAUCAACUAAUGUUAUAUGUAUUCAUUCUCUAUUUUUAAUUAAUUCUACUUUUUCAACGCAUGGUGUGCAGUACUAUUUUACAAGCAAUGAUGACAGCUAAGGUACUUUUUCACUCUUGGCUAUUUGAAGUUUGAAUUAAUUUCCAACUUUAUAACUCGUACAGACUGAUUCAAAAUACAUGCCUUACUACAUAUCUGCGCAAGAUUAUGUGGUGUAAUGUCUAAAGUCUUUGGAAGAUUAAAUAUUGAAGAUUAAGUAGCAGUAGUUGUUGUAGUAUCGGGUUGGGCUAAUUCCACUUUGUCCCUUCAAACUUUGGACGAUUAUCCAUUUCAGUCCCUAAACUUCAAAAUGGGACACUUGAGUUCCUAAACUUAUAAAUACCUCUCACUUAAGUCCCUAAACUUAUAAAUGGGACACUUAAAUCCCUAAACCCUUAUAAAAUGAGACACUUCGACCACCAACGACAUUCAGGAUUUGUUAACAAUUUUCUUUAAGUGGGAGAUAUUUAUAAGUUUAGGGACUUAAGUGUCCCAUUUUAAAGUUUAGGGACUGAAGUGGAUAAUCGUCCAAAGUUUGGGGGGACAAAGUGGUCUUAACCCUAUCGGGUUAGGCAUUUUCAAAGUAGCCAAAAAUGUUGGGAGGGAAUUCGUGGGAAGGUUCGAGAAAAAAAAAUGUAAUAUUUUUGAAUUAUAUUUAAGUAAAAAAAAAAAGAAGAAAUAUCCAAAAGCCAGCCACAAAGAAACAGACAGACCGAUCCACCUCCACCUCCACCUGUGGCCUGCCAUCAUCCAUUCUACCUAGAUUUAGAUUGGGAUGAUCAUUUCUACGAAACAAAAGGAAAAAGCCAAAACAAAAAAAGAGGAAUAGGGAGAUGAUCAAUGCAGUGGGAAUGAUGAUGCAAUCCAAUUGCGGCGCAUCGGGCAUUGAUUCUCCGCGCAAUGAAUUCCCACAGUAUUUCCUGCUAAUUAUUUCGUUGAAGAGCUUUUGCUUUUUACGGUCAAAGGCAAUCGAGUGAUGAUAUUAGCUACGUAAUACUCGCCUCAUCAUCUCUGGAUAUUAUUUUAUUAUUUUAUUUAAUAUAAUAAGCACCACAAUAUCUGUAAUCCCUAUUUGAAUUUUUGUUUUUGGAUCGAUGGUCAUGUCUUGGGUUGCAAACGAAUCGAUUCGUUUGUGAGUGAUUCGAUUCCGAGCUCGAUCAAUAAUAUCGAGUUUAAGUCGAGUUCGAACUGAUCAAAUCGAACUCGAAUUCAAAAAUACUAAAUUCGCAAGCCAAUUCGAGCUCAAUUAUAUAUAUGUUCGAGUUUAAAAAAACUAAACUCGUUAGUUUCCGAGUCGGUUCGAGCUUGAUUAUAUAUAUAUACAUACUUUUUUUUAUUUUUUAUUUUAAGAGUAAUAUUACAUAUAUAUCCCUAAUAUUUUUUAUUUGUUUAAAAAUUUAUUAUUUUAUUCAUUUAUAAAAAUAUAAAAUAAAUAAAUUUUAAAAUUUUUUUAAAGCUCGAGCUCGACUCGAAUUUAAAUAGAGUUCGAGUUCGAGUUCGAAUUUGAUAUUUUGAACUCGUCGAAUUCGAAAUCGAAUUCGAGUUUCAUAAAAUUUCGGUUCGAUUAUGCUGAAACUCGAUUCAGCUUAACUUGUUUACACCCUAGUCAUGUCCUACUCCUAUUUUAAUUUAUGUUCCCUUUUAGGGAAAAAAUCCCAUCUCUAGAUUAAAGAAGUACAUCACUGUGCGUACCCCAAUUGGGCCAAGGGGGGUAAAGGAGAGAAUCCUACCUCAAGGAGGCAAUUAGGCCAAGGGGAAGACAGGGAGAGAAUCUCACCUCUAGGCUAAAGGAAUACAUUAUUCUACACCCUUUAAAUUUUUACUACAUAUGCUUGAUCCGCAUUUGAUAGAUUUUACUACAGAUGCUUGAUCUGUAUCUGAUGCUUGAUGUCAGUCAAUCGGAUCUCAUUCCCCUGGCUGUGCCAAUGCGAAAGUAACUUCACAAGACCAUCCUAGCCGAGCUAUUCGAGAUCUUUUACUAUUUCUGUUCUAUUCCGGUAUGGUACAAUGAUACUUCAUUUGGUUUCGGCUUACUUUAACAAUCAAUAAUUCCAACUUUCAAGCUCAUAAGAAAAUACCUAACUCGGAAUUAGAUCUUGUAUUUUUUUGACUUUGGAUUCUGAUUCUAUACGUUUGCAGUUUCCACCUCCCAUUCAUAGAGACCACCUGUUGGUAUUCAGGUCCCUCGAACAUGCAUUCUGAGUCAUGGUUCCGGCUCGAGAUGGUGAACACUUCAGACAAUGAAUUAAACGUACGUGUAAAUUGACCAGGACAAACGUCAUCCAAGGUCGACGAAGCUAGUAGCUGUAAUUAAGAUUUUGACUAACCUCUGCAUUCAUCCCUCCUAUUACAUUUGACAGCGAAAAAAAUCAACACAAAUAUCAGAUGAAAUUUGUGCUAAACCCAUCCAUAUACUACGCUAUUGCAAUAUAAACAACAGCCCUUCAUUUUCUCUGUCUGUAACAUUAUGGAAAAUAGCGACACGUGUAAAUUCAAAUUGAGAAACUACACAAAAAAGAUCUGGCAUCAGGCCUCUUUGCACAAACACCACGGGCCAUCCAUUCUUGAAAGCCAAGAGUGCAGAAGAGACAGAUGAUAAAACCACCUGAAGCAAAGAUACGGGAUACAUAUCUUUGAAAAUUGUAUAAUCUUAUAGUACUUGAUAUCAGUGGCAUGCAUGUAUCCUAUGUCAAACUCCAUUUCCACUCUCAAAGCUUCAAAACACUGUUUUGAUUCCAUUGCGGACGAAAGCGGUUAAAACAUAGGAAACUGAAUAUUUUUGCACAAAGGGUGCAGCUAUGAUUGUGAAAAAUAAAGUCAGUAGAGACUUAGGCAGCACCACUGGCUCCCUUUCCUUUCUUUCUCUGGAUUUUCUUCAUGUAGAACUCAAGCUCUUUGCCUUCCAAGAUAUACCCGCAAAUAUUAAAGCCACAACAAGUGAAAACGAUGUGAAAAUGGCCAAAAAGAUUAUUUUAAUUAAUCCAAGUAAUUAAACAACAAACAAACAAACAACUAAAGCUCCUAGCAUAAUUACAGAGCAUUAACCAACUGUCCUUCCUGAAUGUAAUGUAACAACUGAAAUUGGGAACCAAUGUUCUUUGACACACAAUUAAACCGUCCAGGCAGCAAAAUCUGCCAAAAGUUUCAAUAGUUGGAUAAUCGUUCCACAGUAAUAUGUAUUAAUGUCGCCAUUUUUGUUUAAAUGAAAAUGUAUAAUGGUUCCUAAGUACUUUAAAACACUGAUGUAAAAGGAACAUCACGAAUAAUGCAUACCCAUCUGCACGACCACACUGGCGAGGCCUUGAAGAAAUUGCAGCCAACAACCGACCACCUGCAAACUGCUCCUCAAUAUGAGGAUCAAUCUUGCAAAUCCUGUCGACGCUGCCUCAGUUUUCUUACAACAUGGUUACUCUUUGUAUCCUCUAUAUAUGCCUCAGGUUCCUAAAAGACAAGUUCAUAAUGAAAAUUAUCAAGCAUUGAAAAUGUGAUGUUAUCAAAAAUUAGAUUAAUUCACUUUAAAUUCUAUUCCAACUGUAUAUAACAGGUCAGCAUAGUCCUAAUGUAACUGCUCACUAAGUUGCACAACUAAAUAGGUAAAAGCAUUUAUUGCAUGUAACAAUUCUGCCAAAUAGUUUUUAAAACAAUUCCAGAUUCAAUUCCGUACGCAAUUGAUGAAAAUGCAACUGCACAACAGCAAAUCAAUGUAAUAGUUGGCCAGAAGGAAAAGCAAAAAAAAAAAAAAAAAACAAGUAUGUACUCCAAACCUCUCCUUCCUUCUUAGUAGCAGCAGUCUUCUUCUUGCAACCAAUGUCAACACCAUAAUGCUGAAGAUACCACUGCUUAAAUGGAGCAGCCUCAACUUGAACUAUAGCACUCUUGACCAAAGUCUGGGUCCUAACCAGUUCAUUGUUAGAAGCAUUAAAAACUACGUCAAGUAUACGAGUCUUCCUGGUAAGAGACUCAUUUCCCCAUGAGUAAUUCCCAGAGUCCAACCUCAGUGCACGCCACUUCACAUUCCCACCUCUUACCCUAACCCUCCUUACUGCCUUGUUACCAUCCAACUUAGUGUUUGAAGGUCACCUUCCCAACUCACACCUAAUAGCAAACAAGAGAGUUGUCAUAAUCCAGACUCUAGAGAUUAUUAUUACGAGGCACAGAUGCAACACAAUCACAUGGUAAGACCAGAAUUUAUGCCAGUCAAUUGCAAGCAUAGAUGGACCAUAACUAAGACUACAGGGAUUGUCAAAGUCAGGCAAAGAUGGUGCAUAACAGCAGGAUACAACUCAAAUUCAUGCUAACCAUUCUUAAGAAGUUACAACCUAGAUUUUCUUUUCACACGGGCAAGGAGCAACAUCGCCAAGUAAUACCCACUACAUGUAUAAAUAAAGCAACCACAAGGUCCAGAACCCAAUGGUUCUCUUCAACCAUAUACAGUAAGCCACAAAUGGACUAGGCUUUAAUACUAAUGAAUAUUAUGAAUUGCAAUAUAUGCAGGCAUAGACCAAACAAAACUAAAUUAACACAACUCAAUAUUAUGAAUUGCAACAUAGCUCUUUAAUACUUCCAAAAUCACAGAGAGGACCUGGAAACAAACUAAAAUGAUCAUCAACUUAAUCGAAUGAACAAGGGCACCGGAGAACAUAGCAAUGAAAAAUCUAAUACCCAAAAAAAGGAUAGCAAAAUAAAAUAAAAUAAAAAAGAGCAUUCGGUCUUUUAGAAGUACAACCAGUCACCCCAAGCCAUUAAUUGGUGCCAAUGUAGUCAGGCAUAGACAAACCAAAACAAAAUUCUACAACUAAAUCAACGCCCGUCAUUCUCAGGAGAGUAGUUUUUCUCAUCAUAGAAAUCAAACAUCUUCAUCAGACCAUGCAAUUAGGUCCCUAGACAAUAAUUGCUAAAAACAAUAAAGUAUAAAUCAUCCCAUAUUUAGUAAAAUGCAUAAGGCCACCAUCUUACACAUGAGUUUUACAUAAACACAACAAUAGUCCUUCUCAAACAAAUGCAAAUUUGAAAAUGAACUUUGUAGUGAUUAAGAAUUUUAUUUUGGGGGGCUUACUUUCGCUUUUUCCUUCAGGCCUUCUUCUUGCCUCAAGUGGCACGCCUCUUGUGCAUUGAAUCGCAAGAAAUACCUACACGGCGUACCAAAAAAAAAAUUUACCAACUAAAAUCGUUGAUUCAGAAGGUAUGAUGAAGUUGAACAAAGACGGUGAGGGAAAUAAAAAUGCGAUGAAGACGAAUGAAUACACAAAAAGUAUUACCCAUUUUGCUGUUGCAGUUGGCGCUGCUGAUGGAUUCUACAGCUCCUGCGAGUUGAUCCAAACGUGCAGGUCUGAGAGGAAAGGGGAAGCCGAAUCUAUCGGAAGGGGAAAGGGUCCAAGAAAAUACGAGCAGGGCUUUUCUAAAAUCGGUUUUUUCGGCCCACUGCAGACAAGCGUAAAUAAGUCUAAUCAAGUCAAAUACGCCUAGUAUUUAAACAAAUUUGACAAGUUUGAAAUUUUAUUUAAAAUUGGAUUGUUUAUUUGUUGAAUUGAGAUUAAACGAACUUUUUAUCGAAUUUGAAUGUUCAAGAUUGGGUUGUUUAUCUAUUGAACUGAGAUUGAGUUUUAUCAAAUUUGAAUGUUGUCGAACGGGUUUUAUGAAAUUUGAGUUUUUAUGCGGAUGACAAACCAAGCUUGAACGAACUGUUAUCAAGCUAAAUUCGAGUUCAAUUCGGGUAUGAAAUAACUUGGUUCAUGUUGCAAUUCUACCUACCUAUGCCUUUUAUGUUGAUUUUUUGACCGUUUUACUGAUUUAUCCUUGCAAGAAAAGGUGAUGGUAUUAAACCUAGGUGGAUGGUUAAUACAAUUAGACGAUCGGUAGUCGCAUGUUAGGAUUUGAUAUUAACGAAAAGUUACUGACAGAUAAUCCGAUAGAAUUUUGUAAAAGAACCCAAAAAUCAGCCUGACAUUUCGUAGAAUUAAUCUUCUAUACACUGACAGUAUAUACACUUUCACUAUUUGAUACAUGACAUUUGAAACCCAAAUUUUGCACAUAUAUCGUACAUCCAACCGUGAUAGUGUAUACACUGUCAAUGUAUAUAAAAUUUACUCAUAUAUAAAAAUCUGAUAACAUGUUAUCACUUACAAAUCCAAAAGGCCGUAAAAUAAAACGGAAAAAGAAAAUUAUGAAUGAAAUGACCAUAUCACCACUAACAAAUCCAGCAUUUCUAGGCUACUCCUCUGCGUGGUAGCGUCGGAAAACAAAUAUUCUGUUCCAUUCAGUCACUGGAUUCAUCGAUGGUACAAACCAAAAGCAGGACCCAAUUCCUUGAUUCCUCAUCUCGUACUGCAAUUCAUUUUUCCUCCAAGUUCUUGAUGUCAGAAUAUUUUUAGCUCUACAAAAAGGGGAAAAAAAAACUUGCUUCCGCUGAUGAAGCAAAUAAAUACCGUAUUUGAUGCCAAACACUAGUAGUUUAUUGCUACACUUGAGGGUGUAAUCCAGAUGGGGUUUUCCUUAACCGGCCUUGCUCCCACCAAUUGUCAUACCUCUCUCGGAAUUUCUUAUCAAAUAACUCGAAAAUUUCUGCUUUUUAAUGGGAAAGAGAGAGGCACAGUAGGUUUUAAGUCAUCAGAGCUUAAGCCUAAACCGAGAAAUUUGGUUCCCUGCAAGCUUGAGUACAUCGAUUUUGAUGCAAGAACCAGCCCGACGGAGGUACAACGUAUACCCAUCUUCAACUACAGUUUACUUGUUUAGUGUACAUGAAUGCUUGUAUUCCAGUUGAAUGUCUUGGGGAAAAUGAAGAGAAAUGUAUAGACCGUGCCGUUGCAAAAAUAAAGUUUCUGUCUUCUCUGUUUCUUGUUUUUGCUAAUGCUCUUGACCAUUUUAAAUGAUUGAGCUCGGUAGAAAUGAUGAGGAAAUUGGACUGCUGUUUCUUAUUAUUCUAUCAGAAUCAAGGUUUGACGCAGCUACUUCGAUUUUUUGUUUUUGUUAAAGUUAAAAGCUUGGUGCCACCUCUCCUUUGACCUUUAUGUAGUGAUUUUCUUAGCUUAGAACUUGGAAAUUCCAUAUCACUUUCUCAGUAAAAUGUAGGUUUACUGCCUUGCUGAUGCCCGAAAGAUUAUCUAAAUCCCUUCUGGGAUUUCCAUAUUUAGGAUUAGUAAUUGACUGUUUCAGCAGGCAGUCCGUUUUUGUUAAAAACUUCAACUGCUUCAAUAUGGUUCCGUGCAUUUGUACAUUUCCCCUGUUACCUGAUUUUCAUGAGGCUAAAAGGUUCUGGAAUGUAAAGCCCGUGGAGAUAUGCUUCGCAUUUCUUGAUAGUUGGAUUUUUGGUUUGGCUUCUGGAUAUUUGUUUUUUCUUUUCUUUACCUUAUUUUUGCUUUUUUCUUCUCUCCAGCACUUGAUUUUGAUGUUUUUCUAUUACCAUGCUCUCUCUCUCUCUGGUUUUUUUUUUUGGGGGGGGGGGGGGGUGGGUGGUGCUGCUGCUGGAGGGGAGGGACGAGACUUCAUGAUUGCAAUUGAUGCAUACCAAGAUCUUGCCCAUCCAUUGCUAGUGAAUGGAAGCUUGUUUACAUUGUUCCAUCAAUGUAGUAAAGAUCAUUCUUUACUGAGUAUUGAGAUUAAGAAGCAUUUUUAACUUCAAUUUCAGGUGAAGAAAGAAAUUGAGGAAUGCUACAAACUCAUACACAGGCUAGGCAGAGGUGUUGCAUACUUGGGUUCUUCAAGGAUGGGACCUAACCACCCUCAUUAUACGCAAGCAUUUGAGUUGGGUAGAGAGGUAGAAUAUUUCAGGUCUAUAAACCCAAAAAAGAACAUAGUAACGAAAAUAUAAAUUGGAAAGAUUAAAUCUAGAAUAUUGCUUGAUUUUAGUCCUCGGAUGUGGCCUGUUUGAUAGAUUGCAGGGCUCUUAGAUUGUACAUCCUGGUCAGGGGCUGGACCAGGGCUCAUGGAUGCUGCCACACAAGGAGCUCUGCAAGCUGGAAAACCAGUAGGUGGAUUCAAAAUAGGAAAAGAAGCUGGAGAAUGGACGGCUACAAACUUUCACCCGUACUUGCCAUCGGAAGCAUAUCUUACAUGCAGGUAAGCAUCAUGCUAUCAGAAUUUUACUUUACGAGUUUCAGGACUAGGUCAGUUGAAUAAAUUCAAGAAACACACACAGGUUCUUUUCCGCAAGAAAGCAUGGGUUAGUGGAUGCUGUUGUCAGAGCUAGUGGUUCUGAUAAGACAGCCGUCGUUGCCCUUCCUGGCGGUGUUGGAACUCUGGAUGAAAUAUUUGAGAUCAUGGCGUUAAUUCAACUCGAAAGAAUUGGAUCAUCGCUUCGGGUGCCCUUUCUUUUAAUGAACUAUGAUUCCUUUUAUGAGAAGCUGCUGGAAUUUCUUGACAAUUGUGAGGAAUGGGGAACUCUCUCAAAGGGUGAGGUUUCCUCACUGUGGAAAGUAUGCGGCAACAACACAGAAGCCUUGAGCUAUUUGGCGCAUUUCUAUGGCCUUUCUUUAUUGUGAUAAAGCCAUAAAGAGGGGAGCCUAAAUCACAAACUGAAUGUGGAUCUGUUUCUUGAUUCUUUUAGGUGGUUGCUUUGACCCUCAAAUCUUGACUACACAGAUAGUUUUUUUUUUUUUUAUACGAUAGCUUCUUAUGCUAUGGCGAGGGAAGGGUCUGAAGAGGUUUUGGGGUAACUAACUCAAAGUGGACUGAACCACCACCGGACCAGACAGAUAGUCACCAGACUUGUUUUAUACUAUUUCUCUGGGACUAAGCUCUGGGCAUUUUGAACUACCAAAGGAAAAGCAUUAUGCUUCCACAUUCAUAAAAGCAUUAUGCAUAUUUUACUUAAAACUGAUAGUACUUUAUUUCCAACAUAAUAAUAAUAAUAAUGUUCACGAGGACCGAGAAAAACAUCAGCAAUGUCAACAAGCAAAUCCUACUUCAAUAACGAGAGACACUUGAAAAAGACUCGAAAAACCCUAAAGCCAAAUGGGUAUAAUAACUCCUUAAAACUAAAAGACUCGAUUAUAGAGGGGAAUCCUGCAUUCUACUACAAACAGCUGAUGCCUUAAUAACCUACUGCAAACGGCUGAUGCCUUAAUAACCGGCAACGUAUCCUCGAUCAUAACUAGGGGCACCACCAUAUCCAGGGUAAGCUUGUGCUCCGGUGAAAUACCGGCGGUCUGGUCCUUCCAAAUAGCUGGAGCAUUGUCCGUGCUGCCACCACAGCAUCUCUACAUGUUUCUCCAACUUUCCUAGCUUGUACAGUAGCAUGUUUGCAUUCACGCAGCCUGAGAGUUCAAUUAUUCCAUCUUCAUGCAUCUGGAAGUGUCGUAUCCCUAUACAUAUUUUGUCCAACAAGAGGAAUUUAUAAAUUAAAAUAACAAUAUGUUCAAAACAAAAACUGGUCUAGGAAACAAUAAACUUUGAAAAAAAAAAACCAAAAUCAUAAAAGGAAUAAUGCUUCUAAAUUAGGGAGCACCCUGUUUAUAGAAAAUCUGACAAUAUACAUUACAUCAAAAAAUAAUAAUAAAAAAGGGCUUUUGAGUAAAAAAAAAAAAAAAUUUUUUGCGUAAGCAUGUCUAGUUAUAAUACAUGCUAUGAUUGCGGAAAGAAAGAAAGAAAGAUUUCAUGUUCGCUUGGAUCAGUUUGUAUGAAGAUUAAUCCCAUGACUCUGUAUCGAAUCGAGGACAUUAAUAAUAGAUUGUUGUAAUAAUGAGAUGCAAGCAACUUGCCAUGGGUUGAGCCGACCACUUUGCCUAACUUGUACAUAGCUUUUGAUGAUCCUCUUCUUCUGCCCAUGUCCCAUCUCAGCGUACAAGCCUGAAUGAGUGAAGAAAGUGGAUUACUGUAAAAAACAAGAGAUUUAAACGACAAAUACCUAAAAAAAAAAAGAAAGACAGAACAAUAAACCUUAAACCCAAAAAGAAAAAAAAAAUUAACAACAAACACAAAAAGCUCAUAUUAUGACCAUGAAAUCAGCGGCCUCCUCCGGAUAAACCCUGGGCGCGGCGGCAUUCACGAAGGACUUGGAAGACUUGAAGAACUUCAUAGUAGGAGUAUCACUUUUGUUGGUUGUUAAGGUUGUGAUAUUGUGGAAUAAAUGGGGAGCCAGUGCAUGAAUUUAUAGAUUUUCUUAACCGCCUUUGCCCAGAAAUAAUUAAGACAAGUUAUGGUCUUGCCCAUUUUAGUAGUAUUGUACAUAAUUCUUGUUACCAUAUUUUGAUUGUGAAAACUUUUUCUUCAAGAUUCCUUCAAGCUAUUAAGGUAAUGUUACCAGUUACCACUAUCCUUUUUUUUUUAUAGUACUGCUAGAAUAUCUUUUCUUGCUAUAAUAUCUCCUCCUUACAUAAAUAACUGUAUCUUUCCUUGCUUGCACAUUGCGUUCUUCCAUUUAGAUUCUCUAUGUUUUUGCAAAAUUUGCGUCUUUUUUUUUUGCCGUGGAUUUUCGGGCAAGUGCUUUACCAAUAUAUUGUCCACCAAUCACAUUCAUUACCCCCUUAUUUGUAGACAAAGUUUGUUUAUGCUAAAAAUAUUAUGAUCUUUUUGUGAUAUUCUUUUACUGACCAUCAUAUCUUUGGAUACCAAAUCAUAUAUGAAUCUCAAUCCUUUUUCUUUUCAACAUCACAUUUAUGAAUGGCGUACAAUGCUCUGGCAGUUAUAAGGCAAUUUUAAAUGCUUCGCAAAAUUUAUGCAUGGUGAUCAUAUAUAUAUAUAUGGUUUGUGAAGCGGGGCAGGUUCACUCACAAGUCGCACAAUUAUACUUGCUGAUUACAAGGUGGAGUGAAUUUUAGCUUAAUUUUGCACAUCGUACUUCUAGGAAGAAGACCGUCCGUGUUCUUUCAUUACCAAUUGACCCAGGCGCAGGUUCCUCAAUCACUAGAUUAAAAAUCGAAGUUCUUGUGUAAUAAUAAAACUUUGCUUCAUAAAAAGCAAACCCUUUUUAGAUUUUAGGUGCUUGGCCAAACCCAAUUUGCUGAAGCCAACACCAACACAUCUGCUGCAAGCAUGACAGAAUAUUUGGCUAGAUGAUUGAUUGAUAAUGAACGACAACUUCAGUAAUUUUGUCCAACACCAUCAUAUAUUCUCAGAAUGAUAACUAGGUCUGAUACAACUGGAAAUUUACAAAAUCCUUCAACAGUAGGCUAUCCACUCUCUGCUGUGGAUUUAAAAUUCCGAGGCGUGUGCCGCUUUUUAAUGGAUUGACAAAAGAAUGAGAACGACUCCUUAAGUUCGUUUGGAAGGGGAAAUGCC
This 22088-nucleotide long non-coding RNA is filed under the name Coffea arabica (coffee). RNAcentral's name for it is "long non-coding RNA (CARA_LNC003620)". The record is from RNAcentral. Lineage: Eukaryota; Viridiplantae; Streptophyta; Magnoliopsida; Gentianales; Rubiaceae.